This is an unclassified non-coding RNA of Aotus nancymaae (Ma's night monkey), 109 nucleotides long. It matches the Rfam family "Y RNA". Rfam says of the family: Y RNAs are components of the Ro ribonucleoprotein particle (Ro RNP), in association with Ro60 and La proteins. The record is from Ensembl. Lineage: Eukaryota; Metazoa; Chordata; Mammalia; Primates; Aotidae.
GUCCGGUCUGAAGGUAGAGACUUACCUCAAUUGACUCUCCAUAAUUACAGAUUGAACGCCUUAUUCUACUCUUACCCCCAUGCUCACUACUGCACUUAACUAGUCUUUA